UACGUAGGUGGCGAGCGUUGUCCGGAAUUACUGGGUGUAAAGGGCGUGUAGGCGGGAGUGCAAGUCAGAUGUGAAAUUCCAAGGCUUAACCUUGGCACUGCAUCUGAAACUGUGCUUCUUGAGUGCUGGAGAGGAAAGCGGAAUUCCUAGUGUAGCGGUGAAAUGCGUAGAUAUUAGGAGGAACACCAGUGGCGAAGGCGGCUUUCUGGACAGUAACUGACGCUGAGGCGCGAAAGCGUGGGGAGCGAACAGG
This 253-nucleotide ribosomal RNA is filed under the name uncultured bacterium. Its description in RNAcentral is "partial 16S ribosomal RNA". It matches the Rfam family "Bacterial small subunit ribosomal RNA", at positions 524 to 776 of the family's 1533-position model. The record is from RNAcentral.